AUUGAACGCUGGCGGCAGGCCUAACACAUGCCAGUCGAGCGGAUGAAGGGAGCUUGCUCCUGGAUUCAGCGGCGGACGGGUGAGUAAUGCCUAGGAAUCUGCCUGGUAGUGGGGGAUAACGUCCGGAAACGGGCGCUAAUACCGCAUACGUCCUGAGGGAGAAAGUGGGGGAGCUUCGGACCUCACGCUAUCAGAUGAGCCUAGGUCGGAUUAGCUAGUUGGUGGGGUAAAGGCCUACCAAGGCGACGAUCCGUAACUGGUCUGAGAGGAUGAUCAGUCACACUAGAACUGAGACACGGUCCAGACUCCUACGGGAGGCAGCAGUGGGGAAUAUUGGACAAUGGGCGAAAGCCUGAUCCAGCCAUGCCGCGUGUGUGAAGAAGGUCUUCGGAUUGUAAAGCACUUUAAGUUGGGAGGAAGGGCAGUAAGUUAAUACCUUGCUGUUUUGACGUUACCAACAGAAUAAGCACCGGCUAACUUCGUG
RNAcentral lists this ribosomal RNA (484 nucleotides) under uncultured bacterium. Its description in RNAcentral is "partial 16S ribosomal RNA". It matches the Rfam family "Bacterial small subunit ribosomal RNA", at positions 30 to 507 of the family's 1533-position model. The record is from RNAcentral.